AUUGAACGCUGGCGGCAUGCCUUACACAUGCAAGUCGAACGGCAGCACGGACUUCGGUCUGGUGGCGAGUGGCGAACGGGUGAGUAAUGUAUCGGAACGUACCUUUCAGUGGGGGAUAACGUAGCGAAAGUUACGCUAAUACCGCAUAUUCUGUGAGCAGGAAAGCAGGGGAUCGCAAGACCUUGCGCUGAUUGAGCGGCCGAUAUCAGAUUAGCUAGUUGGUGGGGUAAAGGCCUACCAAGGCGACGAUCUGUAGCGGGUCUGAGAGGAUGAUCCGCCACACUGGAACUGAGACACGGUCCAGACUCCUACGGGAGGCAGCAGUGGGGAAUUUUGGACAAUGGGGGCAACCCUGAUCCAGCCAUGCCGCGUGAGUGAAGAAGGCCUUCGGGUUGUAAAGCUCUUUCGGCCGGGAAGAAAUCGCAUAGGCUAAUACCCUGUGUGGAUGACGGUACCGGAAUAAGAAGCACCGGCUAACUACGUG
Molecule: ribosomal RNA, 484 nt
Filed under: uncultured bacterium
Lineage: Bacteria
Description: bacterial SSU rRNA
Rfam family: Bacterial small subunit ribosomal RNA
Source: RNAcentral